GUGAACGCUGGCGGUAGGCCUAACCCAUGCAAGUCGAGCGGCAGCACAGUAAGAGCUUGCUCUUACGGGUGGCGAGUGGCGGACGGGUGAGGAAUACAUCGGAAUCUACUUUUUCGUGGGGGAUAACGUAGGGAAACUUACGCUAAUACCGCAUACGACCUACGGGUGAAAGCAGGGGAUCUUCGGACCUUGCGCGAUUGAAUGAGCCGAUGUCGGAUUAGCUAGUUGGCGGGGUAAAGGCCCACCAAGGCGACGAUCCGUAGCUGGUCUGAGAGGAUGAUCAGCCACACUGGAACUGAGACACGGUCCAGACUCCUACGGGAGGCAGCAGUGGGGAAUAUUGGACAAUGGGCGCAAGCCUGAUCCAGCCAUACCGCGUGGGUGAAGAAGGCCUUCGGGUUGUAAAGCCCUUUUGUUGGGAAAGAAAAGCAGCAGGUUAAUACCCCGCUGUUCUGACGGUACCCAAAGAAUAAGCACCGGCUAACUUCGUG
This 491-nucleotide ribosomal RNA is filed under the name uncultured bacterium. RNAcentral's name for it is "partial 16S ribosomal RNA". It matches the Rfam family "Bacterial small subunit ribosomal RNA", at positions 29 to 507 of the family's 1533-position model. The record is from RNAcentral.